GUACUUACCUGGACCGCUGGACGGGGUCAAAGGGUGGUCAAGAUGACCCAUGGCCUAGGUUGGCGACCUCCAUUGCACUUUGGAGGGGCUCCAGUCUAAGGUCGGCCCAAGAGGUCGAACCUAAGUUAUAAUUUAGGCAUGUUCGUUUAUGUUCGAGUUCGAG
Small nuclear RNA from Cynara cardunculus var. scolymus (artichoke), 163 nucleotides. RefSeq annotates it as U1 spliceosomal RNA. The record is from RefSeq and is a predicted model, not a curated record. Lineage: Eukaryota; Viridiplantae; Streptophyta; Magnoliopsida; Asterales; Asteraceae. The transcript has a single exon.